CAGUAGCCGCGGUAAUACAGAGGGUGCGAGCGUUAAUCGGAUUUACUGGGCGUAAAGCGUGCGUAGGCGGCUUUUUAAGUCGGAUGUGAAAUCCCUGAGCUUAACUUAGGAAUUGCAUUCGAUACUGGGAAGCUAGAGUAUGGGAGAGGAUGGUAGAAUUCCAGGUGUAGCGGUGAAAUGCGUAGAGAUCUGGAGGAAUACCGAUGGCGAAGGCAGCCAUCUGGCCUAAUACUGACGCUGAGGUACGAAAGCAUGAGGAGCAAACAGGAUUAGAUACCCGCGUAGUCCCUGUCUCUUAUAC
RNAcentral lists this ribosomal RNA (301 nucleotides) under uncultured bacterium. RNAcentral describes it as "partial 16S ribosomal RNA". It matches the Rfam family "Bacterial small subunit ribosomal RNA", at positions 509 to 807 of the family's 1533-position model. The record is from RNAcentral.